RNAcentral lists this long non-coding RNA (642 nucleotides) under Vulpes vulpes (red fox). Its description in RNAcentral is "lncRNA (ENSVVUG00000027036.1)". Lineage: Eukaryota; Metazoa; Chordata; Mammalia; Carnivora; Canidae. The record is from RNAcentral.
GGGAGAAGCAGGUUGUGGGCGCGGGGCGUGAGGCCCUGGCCGCGGGGAGCCGCUCUGAAGACGGUGCUGGGUUGGGACGGACGGCGUGGUUUCGCCUCGAUAGCUGCUGUCUUCCCAGGAAGAACGGGGGCGGGGGGGAGAUUUUGCAUGCCACAUGCUCCCCUCUCCUGUCCCAGCCCCACGAGGUCAGCCAGCUCAGAGGAACUUUUAAUUGCUCAGACACAGGAACAAAAUGACAAGUGGAAUCCCUCGUCCAACCUCAGUAUGCAGGGCCACUCCGCCAGGCUCUCUCUCGCUCCAGCACCACGCAGCCAGCCCCAGGCCCCGACAUUAAUCUCUUCUCUCCAAAAGAUAUCAUGCAUCACAGGUGCCUGGCGGAGGGCUAACUUUGGGGACUCAAGGAGGCAUGAGCUUGGAUCCUUGCCUGAGGAACCAGGAGGCCAUCCUAGGGAAGGUUCCAGGCUCCUGUCUGCAUGCUGGCUCCCCAGGCUGAUCCUGUUUCCAGCUCCACAAAAUGCAGUUGCUGUGAGGGUGAAAUGGGGACAUUGCAGGCAGGCCUCACACGCCUCUGUUGCUGACCUUUUUGCAAGAGCAACUAUUCUGCUGCAUUGGUCCAAGCACAUCCUCUGUCUAUUGAUGUGA